GCUGGCAGCUAGCUCUCUGAAACUUAAGUCCACUUAAGCUAAGCAGGGCUGUGCCUGGUCAGUACCUGGAUGGGAGACCACAUGGGAAAGCUGGGUUGCUGUGGGAA
RNAcentral lists this ribosomal RNA (107 nucleotides) under Danio rerio (zebrafish). Lineage: Eukaryota; Metazoa; Chordata; Actinopteri; Cypriniformes; Danionidae. The record is from RNAcentral.